Molecule: ribosomal RNA, 421 nt
Filed under: uncultured bacterium
Lineage: Bacteria
Description: bacterial SSU rRNA
Rfam family: Bacterial small subunit ribosomal RNA
Source: RNAcentral
UAAGGAAUAUUGGUCAAUGGACGCAAGUCUGAACCAGCCAUGCCGCGUGGAGGAUGAAGGUCCUCUGGAUUGUAAACUUCUUUUAUCUGGGAAGAAAUCCAUAUUUUCUAAUGUGGUUGACGGUACCAGAUGAAUAAGCACCGGCUAAUUCCGUGCCAGCAGCCGCGGUCAUACGGAAGAUCCAAGCGUUAUCCGGAAUUACUGGGCGUAAAGAGUUGCGUAGGUGGCAUAGUAAGCAGAUAGUGAAAUGAUGCGGCUCAACCGCAUGUCCAUUAUCUGAACUGCUAAGCUAGAGUAUAUGAGAGGUAGCUGGAAUUCCUAGUGUAGGAGUGAAAUCCGUAGAUAUUAGGAGGAACACCGAUGGCGUAGGCAGGCUACUGGCAUAUUACUGACACUAAGGCACGAAAGCGUGGGGAGCGAA